Molecule: ribosomal RNA, 430 nt
Filed under: Pseudomonadota bacterium
Lineage: Bacteria; Pseudomonadati; Pseudomonadota
Description: Proteobacteria bacterium partial 16S ribosomal RNA
Rfam family: Bacterial small subunit ribosomal RNA
Source: RNAcentral
UGGGGAAUAUUGGACAAUGGGCGAAAGCCUGAUCCAGCCAUGCCGCGUGUGUGAAGAAGGCCUUUUGGUUGUAAAGCACUUUAAGCGAGGAGGAGGCUACUAGUACUAAUACUACUGGAUAGUGGACGUUACUCGCAGAAUAAGCACCGGCUAACUCUGUGCCAGCAGCCGCGGUAAUACAGAGGGUGCAAGCGUUAAUCGGAAUUACUGGGCGUAAAGCGCGCGUAGGUGGUUCGUUAAGUUGAAUGUGAAAGCCCCGGGCUCAACCUGGGAACUGCAUCCAAAACUGGCGAGCUAGAGUAGGGCAGAGGGUGGUGGAAUUUCCUGUGUAGCGGUGAAAUGCGUAGAUAUAGGAAGGAACACCAGUGGCGAAGGCGACCACCUGGGCUCAUACUGACGCUGAGGUACGAAAGCAUGGGGAGCAAACAGG